This 253-nucleotide ribosomal RNA is filed under the name uncultured bacterium. Its description in RNAcentral is "partial 16S ribosomal RNA". It matches the Rfam family "Bacterial small subunit ribosomal RNA", at positions 524 to 776 of the family's 1533-position model. The record is from RNAcentral.
CACGUAGGGUGAGAGCGUUGUCCGGAAUUAUUGGGCGUAAAGAGCUCGUAGGCGGUUUGUCGCGUCUGCUGUGAAAACUCGGGGCUUAACUCCGGGCCUGCAGUGGGUACGGGCAGACUAGAGUGCGGCAGGGGAGACUGGAAUUCCUGGUGUAGCGGUGAAAUGCGCAGAUAUCAGGAGGAACACCGGUGGCGAAGGCGGGUCUCUGGGCCGAUACUGACGCUGAGGAGCGAAAGCGUGGGGAGCGAACAGG